Molecule: ribosomal RNA, 496 nt
Filed under: uncultured bacterium
Lineage: Bacteria
Description: partial 16S ribosomal RNA
Rfam family: Bacterial small subunit ribosomal RNA
Source: RNAcentral
GAUGAACGCUAGCGGCAGGCCUAAUACAUGCAAGUCGAGGGGUAGAAGAGGCUUGCUUCUUUGAGACCGGCGCACGGGUGCGUAACGCGUAUGCAACCUACCUUCAUCUGGGGGAUAGCCCGGAGAAAUCCGGAUUAAUACCGCAUAAAAUCACAGGAUGGCAUUAUCCAAUGAUCAAACAUUUAUGGGAUGGAGAUGGGCAUGCGUGUCAUUAGCUAGUUGGCGGGGUAACGGCCCACCAAGGCGACGAUGACUAGGGGAUCUGAGAGGAUGGCCCCCCACACUGGUACUGAGACACGGACCAGACUCCUACGGGAGGCAGCAGUAAGGAAUAUUGGUCAAUGGAGGCAACUCUGAACCAGCCAUGCCGCGUGCAGGAAGACUGCCCUAUGGGUUGUAAACUGCUUUUAUACGGGAAUAAACCUCUCUACGUGUAGAGAGUUGAAUGUACUGUAAGAAUAAGGAUCGGCUAACUCCGUGCCAGCAGCCGCCGUAA